AUUGAACGCUGGCGGCAGGCCUAACACAUGCAAGUCGAGCGGAUGAAGGGAGCUUGCUCCUGGAUCCAGCGGCGGACGGGUGAGUAAUGCCUAGGAAUCUGCCUGGUAGUGGGGGAUAACGUCCGGAAACGGGCGCUAAUACCGCAUACGUCCUGAGGGAGAAGGUGGGGGAUCUUCGGACCUCACGCUAUCAGAUGAGCCUAGGUCGGAUUAGCUAGUUGGUGGGGUAAAGGCCUACCAAGGCGACGAUCCGUAACUGGUCUGAGAGGAUGAUCAGUCACACUGGAACUGAGACACGGUCCAGACUCCUACGGGAGGCAGCAGUGGGGAAUAUUGGACAAUGGGCGAAAGCCUGAUCCAGCCAUGCCGCGUGUGUGAAGAAGGUCUUCGGAUUGUAAAGCACUUUAAGUUGGGAGGAAGGGCAGUAAGUUAAUACCUUGCUGUUUUGACGUUACCAACAGAAUAAGCACCGGCUAACUUCGUG
This 484-nucleotide ribosomal RNA is filed under the name uncultured bacterium. RNAcentral's name for it is "partial 16S ribosomal RNA". It matches the Rfam family "Bacterial small subunit ribosomal RNA", at positions 30 to 507 of the family's 1533-position model. The record is from RNAcentral.